UACGUAGGUGACAAGCGUUGUCCGGAUUUACUGGGCGUAAAGAGCGCGCAGGCGGUCGAUCAAGUCGAGUGUGAAAGCCCCCGGCUCAACUGGGGAGGGUCAUUCGAAACUGGUCGACUCGAAGGCAGGAGAGGGUAGUGGAAUUCCUGGUGUAGCGGUGAAAUGCGCAGAUAUCAGGAGGAACACCCGUGGCGAAAGCGGCUCUCUGGGACGGUACUGACGCUGAGACGCGAAAGCGUGGGGAGCAAACAGG
This 253-nucleotide ribosomal RNA is filed under the name uncultured bacterium. RNAcentral describes it as "partial 16S ribosomal RNA". It matches the Rfam family "Bacterial small subunit ribosomal RNA", at positions 524 to 776 of the family's 1533-position model. The record is from RNAcentral.